RNAcentral lists this ribosomal RNA (473 nucleotides) under uncultured bacterium. RNAcentral's name for it is "bacterial SSU rRNA". It matches the Rfam family "Bacterial small subunit ribosomal RNA", at positions 335 to 803 of the family's 1533-position model. The record is from RNAcentral.
ACUCCUACGGGAGGCAGCAGUGGGGAAUAUUGCACAAUGGGGGAAACCCUGAUGCAGCCAUGCCGCGUGUGUGAAGAAGGCCUUCGGGUUGUAAAGCACUUUCAGCGAGGAGGAAAGGGUGUGUGCUAAUACCAUACAUCUGUGACGUUACUCGCAGAAGAAGCACCGGCUAACUCCGUGCCAGCAGCCGCGGUAAUACGUAGGGUGCGAGCGUUGUCCGGAAUUACUGGGCGUAAAGAGCUCGUAGGUGGUUUGUCGCGUUGUCCGUGAAAUCCCACGGCUUAACUGUGGGCGUGCGGGCGAUACGGGCAGACUGGAGUACUGCAGGGGAGACUGGAAUUCCUGGUGUAGCGGUGGAAUGCGCAGAUAUCAGGAGGAACACCGGUGGCGAAGGCGGGUCUCUGGGCAGUAACUGACGCUGAGGAGCGAAAGCGUGGGGAGCGAACAGGAUUAGAUACCCUGGUAGGCGUAGU